UACAGAGGUCCCAAGCGUUGUUCGGAUUCACUGGGCGUAAAGGGUGCGUAGGCGGCUUGUCGCGUCGGCUGUGAAAACCUGGGGCUCAACCCCGGGCCUGCAGCCGAUACGGGCAAGCUAGAAUUCGGUAGGGGAGACUGGAAUUCCCGGUGUAGCAGUGAAAUGCGUAGAGAUCGGGAGGAACAUCAGUUGCGAAGGCGGCUCUCUGGACCAGCACUGACACUGAGGCACGAAAGCGUGGGGAGCAAACAGG
RNAcentral lists this ribosomal RNA (253 nucleotides) under uncultured bacterium. RNAcentral describes it as "partial 16S ribosomal RNA". It matches the Rfam family "Bacterial small subunit ribosomal RNA", at positions 524 to 776 of the family's 1533-position model. The record is from RNAcentral.